Molecule: ribosomal RNA, 548 nt
Filed under: bacterium ET29
Lineage: Bacteria
Description: bacterial SSU rRNA
Rfam family: Bacterial small subunit ribosomal RNA
Source: RNAcentral
UGGGAAUAUUGGACAAUGGGCGGAAGCCUGAUCCAGCCAUGCCGCGUGUGUGAAGAAGGCCUUUUGGUUGUAAAGCACUUUAAGCGAGGAGGAGGCUACCUGGAUUAAUACUCUGGGAUAGUGGACGUUACUCGCAGAAUAAGCACCGGCUAACUCUGUGCCAGCAGCCGCGGUAAUACAGAGGGUGCGAGCGUUAAUCGGAUUUACUGGGCGUAAAGCGUGCGUAGGCGGCUGAUUAAGUCGGAUGUGAAAUCCCUGAGCUUAACUUAGGAAUUGCAUUCGAUACUGGUCAGCUAGAGUAUGGGAGAGGAUGGUAGAAUUCCAGGUGUAGCGGUGAAAUGCGUAGAGAUCUGGAGGAAUACCGAUGGCGAAGGCAGCCAUCUGGCCUAAUACUGACGCUGAGGUACGAAAGCAUGGGGAGCAAACAGGAUUAGAUACCCUGGUAGUCCAUGCCGUAAACGAUGUCUACUAGCCGUUGGGGCCUUUGAGGCUUUAGUGGCGCAGCUAACGCGAUAAGUAGACCGCCUGGGGAGUACGGUCGCAAGACU